RNAcentral lists this ribosomal RNA (1478 nucleotides) under uncultured bacterium. RNAcentral's name for it is "16S ribosomal RNA". It matches the Rfam family "Bacterial small subunit ribosomal RNA". The record is from RNAcentral.
CUCAGGAUGAACGCUAGCGGCAGGCUUAACACAUGCAAGUCGAGGGGCAGCGGGGAGGAAGCUUGCUUUCUCCGCCGGCGACCGGCGCACGGGUGAGUAACACGUAUGCAACCUGCCCCUGUCAGGGGGACAACCCGCCGAAAGGCGGGCUAAACCCGCGUACAUGCCACCGGGGCAUCCCGGAGGCAGGAAAGGCUUCGGCCGGACAGGGAUGGGCAUGCGGCGCAUUAGGCAGUAGGCGGGGUAACGGCCCACCUAACCGACGAUGCGUAGGGGUUCUGAGAGGAAGGUCCCCCACACUGGUACUGAGACACGGACCAGACUCCUACGGGAGGCAGCAGUGAGGAAUAUUGGUCAAUGGUCGGGAGACUGAACCAGCCAAGCCGCGUGAGGGAUGAAGGUACAGAGUAUCGUAAACCUCUUUUGUCAGGGAACAAAGGCGGGGACGUGUCCCCGGAUGAGUGUACCUGAAGAAAAAGCAUCGGCUAACUCCGUGCCAGCAGCCGCGGUAAUACGGAGGAUGCGAGCGUUAUCCGGAUUUAUUGGGUUUAAAGGGUGCGCAGGCGGUCUGUUAAGUCAGCGGUCAAAGCCCGGGGCUCAACCCCGGCCCGCCGUUGAAACUGGCAGUCUCGAGUUGGAGAGAAGUAUGCGGAAUGCGCGGUGUAGCGGUGAAAUGCAUAGAUAUCGCGCAGAACUCCGAUUGCGAAGGCAGCAUGCCGGCUCCACACUGACGCUGAGGCACGAAAGCGUGGGUAUCGAACAGGAUUAGAUACCCUGGUAGUCCACGCAGUAAACGAUGAAUGCUGGCUGUCCGGGGGGGAUUGACCCCUGGGUGGCGAAGCGAAAGCGAUAAGCAUUCCACCUGGGGAGUACGCCGGCAACGGUGAAACUCAAAGGAAUUGACGGGGGCCCGCACAAGCGGAGGAACAUGUGGUUUAAUUCGAUGAUACGCGAGGAACCUUACCCGGGCUCAAACGGGGAGUGACUCAGGCAGAGACGCCUGUUUCCCACGGGACACUCCCCGAGGUGCUGCAUGGUUGUCGUCAGCUCGUGCCGUGAGGUGUCGGCUUAAGUGCCAUAACGAGCGCAACCCCCGCCGUGGGUUGCUAACAGAUAACGCUGAGGACUCUGCACGGACUGCCGGCGCAAGCCGCGAGGAAGGCGGGGAUGACGUCAAAUCAGCACGGCCCUUACGUCCGGGGCGACACACGUGUUACAAUGGGUGGUACAGCGGGAAGCCAGGCGGCGACGCCGAGCGGAACCCGAAAUCCACUCUCAGUUCGGAUCGGAGUCUGCAACCCGACUCCGUGAAGCUGGAUUCGCUAGUAAUCGCGCAUCAGCCAUGGCGCGGUGAAUACGUUCCCGGGCCUUGUACACACCGCCCGUCAAGCCAUGGGAGCCGAGGGCGCUUGAAGUGCGUCGCCGCGAGGCGCGCCCUAGAGCGAAAUCGGUGACUGGGGCUAAGUCGUAACAAGGUA